CGCGAGCGAACAAGGUGGACGGCGCGGGCUCUCUGACUGGCGGAAGCGGGGUGUACAUACGUUGGCGGGGGUCAGUGAUCGAGCACGCCACGCCGCUUUGUUUAUGCGCGCCGUGGGAUUUAAAGACGGGAUUUAAAAACGUUCGCGCUUCGGAAAACAAAGGAACGAUUUUCGAAAGGAACAUAGGCAAGAUAGCUACAGGCUACAGCAACCCUUCCCCCCUCUCCGCAGGAGAUCCCCCGGACAGGAAACGAAGACUUUCCGGAUGUUAGACCAAUACCUUGGUCUAACUCGGUUCGCAGAGCGGCAAGCUGUUGACGAACGUCGAUGAAUAACCAUAUCAGACUGGCGGUCGCUAAUACGGAAGCACACGCCAAAAAGGCGUUGCAAGCCUUAAGGAAUCCAGGACAAACGCGACCCCUUCUGCCCCUGCACUUGCGCCCAUUUCUGGUGGAAACGUUCCAAUAUUCCGAACGAUCGUCGCUGCUGUCCGUCAACAAUUCCUACAAAAAUGUAAACAACGAUAUCCAGAACAAUUCUUAAAGUUUCCAAGAGAAGAGAAGAUGAUAAAAGGGAUAGGAUACAUAGCAUAUGUACGUGUAUAAGUACAAAUAGAUUGAAUUAGAACCUUUCCUGCUUUAAUUUUGGCAGCUAGUUGCUACUUAUCAAAAGUAUAGCCGCCAGCCAGGACAAAGCGAUCAGCCAGAACAUGAUCAACACCGCCGCUAACCACAAGGAUAUGAUCCUCAUGUCCGACUUGUUGCAUCCACAGGAAUUGCCAUGUUGACUCCUGGACAUCCGCGAUCUGUGCCGUCUGCAAUUGAAAACUACCAUCCGUCACGACACUGUAGUUAAGUCAUCCUUACGUUAAUGUCUAUUUCUACAAAAUUGCCAUCUACAUUGUUUUGCUCAUUAUUUUGGUCUUUAUCUCUUCAGUUUAUUUACAUACAAACUUCUCAGUACUUUAAUUUGAUUAACUUCAAUCUCAGUUUACCUUAUAUUUUUCGUUAAUGCUAAGAAUCUCUUAACUUCAAGAGAUUAAAAUUAAUGUACAUUGUUAGAAACGUUAAAAAAUUGGUUAAAGAAAAAUUAAUCUACCGUUUGACUUUCUUUUUCUUCUGGGGCGCGAGGAUCAGGUCGGUGCUGUCGGAAUCGCUCUCCGACAGCAGAUCGAGAAGGUUGAUGGUCUCCUUCGGAUUCGUCUUAUCCAUCCUCGUCGGCAGCGUGCACCGCAUGUCACGAGUACCCGAGACCGUUGGACGGCCGUGGCCGAUCGCAACGUAGCGACAUAACCCCCGUGAUUUUUUGUUGGACGCCGCGAUAAAGUCCUCUCUUUCUCUUACCCAACAGCUGAGCUGUCCGAUUUCAAUUGGGCUAUUUCGGUGAAAGUUUUACAUGCCUAAUUCCACAUGUAUGUUGCGAGCCAGAACGAAACGAGACGCAACCCACGCACUCGCAUUUGUCACAACAUAACCUAUGAGACGAAUCUGUUCCUUUUACGCACACUUUCUGCACUCUUCUUCAAUUCUUCUCUUUUCUUACCUCCCCCUCUCUGUCUUUCUCUCUUAUUUUCGCUCUAUCUUCUUUACUUUCUCCCUCUCUUCAACGACAGAUCUUUAUACCAUAGAACAUAUUAUACCCUCUUUCUUUUUGAUACAGUGAGUGUAACGCAGACAACGCAACCACAGCUGAAAAGAGAAGCGAUAUGCUCGACUGCACUUUUAGCACUUUUUCGCUUUGAGUGACAUCUGUUAGAAGAAUUAUCCUGUCAGACUAUCAAGUCUGGGAAUCUUGGUUGUUAACAGUAGAUAUAUCGAAAUUUACAAAAUAAUCCUAAAAGAUUUUGCCUUUGUAGGCUGAAUUUUUUGUAUCAUUUUUCUUUUUUUUUAUCUCUUCUCUUUAAUAUAUCUUUUACACCUUAGUUUCCUUUUACAAGUGCAGAAGAUAUAAUCUAUAGCAAACGAAAAUAAAUGAAUUAAAAUGGACAGAAAUGAAUUUUAACAUUUUCGAAUUCGCACUUGAGAUUUUUUGAAUCCAUUUGAAUCCAAAAAUACGCCAGGACUCUAAAGCGUAAACUCGGAUAAAUUAAAAUAAGUUGCAAUUUUCAAUUCAUUUGAAUUUAUUUUCGUUGGUUAGAAACACAUACGUACUCCAAAAAUAAAAAUAAAAAAUACAAAGAAGAAAAGGAAUGUUUAAAGAAUUAGAUUGGCGACAAGGAAAUUCCUUUAUUCUGCCUUCAAUUUUUCAACGUUGAAAAAAUUUUUGCAAUAUAUUGAAUUUUUUUACACUUUACAUUAGAUUCAAGUAUUUGCGUAAACGUCACGCGCCGUCGUCUGGAAGUUUGGUUGGCUGGAUGUGACACAGCCGAAUUUCAAACAACAUCAGCUAUGCCGACAUCUUGCCUUCUAGACGUCCAGUUGAAGGAGAAUAAUCAGUUACAAAUAUCGAACACUUUUCUCAGUGCGUGAAUUCGGUGGUGACAACGGUGGAUCAUCCGGGGAUCUACUCGGACACACAAACGCCGAAGGCACUUGCACCUGCACGAGGCCGGAGAUUCACCGAAGAACUGGUAGCGUGGGCGUCGAUACCUUCGAGGAGACGUGGACGUAAGGACGUGGCGUGUACCUGUCUACACCAGGAGCGGCCUUUAAGGAGGGGGUUCGAAGUCUUCCGCCGUCCCAACUCCAUUGGCUGGGUGUCCGAGGUGUUUACGGGCCGGCUUCUUUUCACGCCGCUCUCCAUCGCGGAUCAUCGCUUUCCGUUCUGUCCCGUCGGGGGCCAGAAGGCGUUAAUGAAGCCCGUUGCAUUCUCGUGCACCUCAUACACCCGCGACAUUCCUCGCGAUUGACGCUAUCGUUCGAGUAGCUAAGAGCGUAGUUAAUCGCUAUACUAUCGCCGAUUCUUUUUUUUCCGAAGGAUAGAUGAGGAGUAAAUGAUCAAAGAUAUACUUUAAGCUUUGCAAAAUAGAAUCGAAGUAAGGAUCCCAUAAUAAUAAUUAUAAUCUUAGUAACAGGUUUAGUAACAGAAAAGAAAGGACUCGCUUAGCGAUAUAAAGUCAUUCAUCGAUUAAAACCGUUAGAGGAUGGUCCCGUGCGUAGUGCAAAACUUCCGACAACGCGAUAAUUUCGAUGUCGAUCGCACCUCCAACCGGAAGCCCGUCCAAAACGCGCUUUUCGACGGGGAACGAGAAUCUCGCACGCGUAAAACGCCGCUCACGUUCGCGGGAUCCUAAUGCUCUUCGUGACUUCCGGUACCGAAGCGAACUCGCGCGCCACCGAAGGAGUCACGUGUCGCUGUCGGUGACCGGAUAUGGCGAAGAAACGGACGGCCAAAUCGGCUUGGCUUGGCUUAGCUCGGCUCGGCACGGCGUCUCUCCUCAUAUGCGAAUCACGCGUAACCCGUGUACCAAAUACCGAGCACCGGCCGGUGACAUCAUACCCAUUGUGUACAUAAGCGAGCGUUCGCGUUCGCAACUUAUUUUGCCGCGCAUCUUCGCCUAGGCCGUCCGUCAUUAUCAUUCCAUCAUGGUGGCAUCACGAGAACGGGGAUAUUGAAACCGGUAUGGUUUCGGAUUUCGACGGUUCGGGCACGCGAAAGCCGUACGAUUACUCGGUCGCGACGAGCUGGCCGGCGCGUAGACUCCAUUUUCUUUAUCAAAUUCAGCUCGCAUCGAGUCAUAAAAAUUCGCAAAUUUUUAAAUGAACUGAAAAAUUGUGAUUCACUUUAAUUCAUUUUAAUUCGUUUUAAUUCAUUUUAAUUUAUUCGUAGACUCGAAUAUAAGUACAGCACAUGAGAUUUUGCUGAUUUCGAUUUAGAGAGUAUUUGCCGAAAGAAGUUUCGAUUUUCCACGAAUAUAGCGCAAAAUUGACCGGAUGAGAACAAUGUCGAUACUGAUAGAAAUCAAAAAGUAUUGUAAAUUUUGUUAAUUUCUUUCACUUAUCCUAGCGAAGGCGAGAAGUAAGCCUCUCUACCUCGGGUAGUUCCUUUCGGUCCUUUGAACGGCAAUAGAGAGGAAAAUUCCUCGUCUCUGACAUCGGCGGCGCUAUCGAGUCAUUGCGCAUUGAUUAUUCCCUGCGCAUCGCGAUUAGGAAUGCGACGAAUUUACAUCGCGCGAAUGUACAACGUAUCUCUCGCGGAACCGCUUUUGACGUAACGACAACUUGGAAUAUCCGAAAUUUCCAUUUGCGUUGAUCCUUUGGGUAUUGCAGAAUGGAAAACAACUUGGUCGCGAUCCCCGUAAGUGUACCCAAAGGAAAUGAAAAGAGAGGGGGGGGGGAGAAGAAAAUUAUUAUAUUUUCUAAGAUUUGACCGCGGCUCGAGUUACUCCGCGAUGAGAGUUUUUCGUACGACUUCCUGACAGCGAGACGACGCGAGAAAAACGUUUUCAUGGGAAAUAAAAAGCUUCAUAACGCCUUCCAGCGGCAGAUAUACGUUCGGCCAAACGUCUCAGGUAGCAAAGGUACUCGAUGUUAUCGAACAGCUGUAUAAACUUGGCGUCCUGCGUUGCAGAAGGUUUAGGUUUGGCGCGCGCGCGCUACAGCCGCACGAAGCAUACACACGCAGCUUUAAUCGCGCUUAAGAGAGACACGUUUUAUCGACGCGUGACGAGACAUCGCGGGUCUGGGUGGAGGUGCGCUCAUAUUCUGUCUUCCGGUCAGCGAAGAUUAUUUCAAAACGGCAAUAAUUGCGCGAUCGGCCAUCGCAAUCGAUCAUUCGCGCGUAAAAAUUCUACACUGAAGCGAAUUUUGUGGAUUUGAAAUAUAUAAAUUAAAUUGUCGAUGUAAAUCUAUUUUCGUCAAUUGGGAUAAAUAUGCUGUCGCAAGAAGAAAUCUAAUGAUAUCGAGAUUGAUCAAGACUGAAAAUGAUAAAAGGGGAUGUUAAGUUUUCGCUAUUUUUCAGUUGAUACCAAAGAAGUUUUGAGAUGUACAAAUUGUACAUUUCGGAACCGGCUAACGUAAAGAAGAUUCGAAAUAUGUAUAUAAAUUGAAAAAAAUGGCCAAAACUCAACAUCCUUCUCUCUGCGUCGAGUAGCUUCAUAUAAAUUCUUUCCGAAUCGUCACAAAUUUCCUGCGAGUCUUUUUUUACCUUAGUUGAAUCUACUUUUCCUUAAUAUCGCUUCCUCUUUUCGCAAUCCAGGUAACGAGAAACUAGAAGACUCACCUCGCGGGACUUACGUCAGCGGAACGUGAACUGCCUCGAGAGAUCUAGCUUCGAGGAGGAACGCCUCGCGACACAAAAUUCAAAAAGGAGAAAACUACAAAUGUACUUCGGAAACAAGCUCUUCGACCGUGGAUCGAGGUGACUUCGUCGUUCGGCAGACGAUUAGCAGGCACGCCGAGGAGCACGUCGCGGUGUUCCGUCGCGGAGAAAGUCAUCGCCGGCAACAAUGACAACGGCUGCCAUCGUUGCCGCCACCACCAUCGCCAACCCAUCACCACCACCGUCCUCGCCGUCGUUGUCGUCGUUCGCUGUUGUAUUCAUCGGCACCGGGGCGAGGAGACGAGGCGAAGAAAAGAAGGGAAAAAACGCGCCACAGGAGGAACAAUUAAUUCGUACGCGGAACACGUACGCGCGGACACGCACACGGCCCCGCGCGUCGCGAUGGAACGCGCCUUACGCGCGCGUUCUCCACCUUCUCUCCAUCCGGUACACGGAAUAUUCGGCUGCCAAUCGCAGCGGCCACGGGCGCGCGCGGAUAUAAAUACAUGCCGGGUACUCCGUCCGGGCUGCGUGUCGGCCGGGAGUGCCGACGAAUUUUUAAUUAGUAAAAAUUCGUCGAUAGAUUUUCACGAGAUUUCCGGCGAACCCCCCGCGGGGGCGAGAUGAACGGGGAAAGGACGGCGCACGGCUCCCUUCCGGCGUAUUUUUAGGCUGCGGAAGGCGUUUCGCGCGAUCAUUUCGCGCGCGCACUACUCGCGUCGUUAAAUCUUUAUCGCUCUCGUAGACACGGCGCGCCCGCGCCGCGGGAAACGAUAAAGAUUAAGCGGAAAUAAUCGGAACAGGUUGUUUCCAUUGUAAACGGCGGCGCGAGCAAUGCCCAGACCCAGAGUCACCGUACCCAGGCAAUUAACAUCAGAUUCAAAAUAGGGACGUAAGACGUCCUAAAGGCACAUAGUUCUGAUAUUCGUUUCCGCAUAAUCGAUGUAUGCAGAUUAACUUUGAUCUCAAUUUACUUUUUAUCUCUAUCUAGUUUUAAGAAAUAAAAAAAAAGGAUCAAGAGUGAGUUAAACUGAGAUUAAAAUUAAUCUACAUCAUGGUGGAAAUGGACGUAAAAAAUAUCUAUCCUGGAACGCUACUAUCGGUGUUAUAAUCGAUAUUAAUAGCGAAAAAAGGUGGAUUCACUGUUAUUUCCAGAAUCGUCAUUUCCCACAGCGGAACAAUGCGCAACAUUGAUGACAGCGAGGAGGAAUGGCGCAGGGCAGAGAUCUCGGGUAGAAGUAGGCCGUGCAAAUGAGGUGGACUCUGUGGAACGCGUUUACUAUAACCGAGGCAACCGAGUCGCGCGUGUUAAUUGCAGAACAAGCGGCUACAGUUUUGUAGGGCGCGACGGACGUAUCUCGUCGAGAAGCGAAGGUUCGACUCGAACGAGGAAACGUAGGAUGACGGAGGGAGAUCUCGAUAAUGAUCGGGAACGAGAACGUCGAAACGAGACGUGAAAGAUUUUUCUCCCGAGAUCUCGACGUCGAUCCUCGCUCGGGCGGAAAGGUACGUCCUUUACCCGUCCGUUAUUAGCGCGCUAAUAAUUAAGGGGAGGGCGGUAAUUAACUCCAGUUGAGACUCAAGUGAUAACACGGCGCACCUGCGGUCAACAAGUCGUUUUACAGGACGCUCAUAAUUGCGCGGUGUCUCUAAUUAGCGAAACGCUGAUGGAAAAACUUCCAGGCCGGCUCGAUCGGCUCAUCAGCGUCUAAUCACGUCUCUGUGUUUCCUUUGAGAGAUCUAUGAUUCCGGGAUUCAUGCCGCACUUAUCGAAAACUUAAAAUUUACCAAGCAGCUCUUACUACGUUUAAAAGAAAUAAACCAAUGAAAAUUUUAUAAUGUCCACUGUUAUAACAAAAAUUUUGUAAUAAAAUAUUUAUUUUCUUAUAUUAAAAAAAAAACUUGGAAAAACAUUUGCAUUUUAGCUGUAUCUCAAUAGGAGGUGGAAUAUAUGAUCGCUCAUGAGUGAUGAGUGAAGCACAAUGGAACCGAACAAAGAAUACAAGAGCUAAACGCUUGUAUUUUCGUAUACUCCAUCCUCUCUCUCUUGUAUGUAUGUUACACUCAUAUAUCAAAGUCUAAACCUUUUUACAUUCCUUACGGAAGGAAGGAGAGAGUAAGUAAUACACUGUAAGAAUUUGUAAUACAUUGCUGUGUUACUCGCAACAUUAAGAUUGGCAAACUGAUGCAGCUCACAAUGAUGUAAUGUUAACAGUAAAAAAUUGUAAUUACUAAUAUUAAUAUAACACAAAGAUUGCAAUUUACCUUCACUCCUAUUUUUUCUAGUUACCGCGGCAUGAAUACCGGAGCUAUCCUAGUAUUAGAAUAGAAUCUAAAAGUCUUACUCUGUUACGACGAAUGCAAAAGGUUGAAUUAAGGUCCGAGGAAAGAACGCCAUCAAGACACAGCACAGCAGUUCAGAAAAGCGAAAGAUUCGCGAAGUCACUUCGCGAUUUACGCGAGUCACCUUAUGGAGGUUCAGAAGCGCAGCUGCGACGCUACCAAACUGGUAUAGAUCAACAAAAAUGAUUAUCGGGAAAUUUAAAUCACUCGAUUUCGAAUUAGCAGCCCGGGUCAGCCGCGCCUUGGGCACCACACCCCGAGUGCAUCGGUCGCAACGCGGUACAAUUGACACCUCGCGCUUAAUUCGCGUACGCACGGCCGUGAUAAGCCGACCCGAUUGGUCUUGCGAGGCAAGACGCACCAGGCGCGAGUAACGCUUAUAUAACAUUUUUAUCGUUUUUCGUCGAAACAUUCAAAACAGUCUUCGCGACAGCUUGCCGCCUCUCCGCGGGGACCGUCUCUAGCUAUUAGAGAUCGGGAAUCGCCUCUCUCGUCGGGCAAUUCUCGACGACUAUUCGAGCCUAUUCUGCGAUCGCGUGGAAAAUCAAGGUGUUACAAUUAAGAAAAACUGUCGCGGAAGAUGGAAAAAGAGCUCGUUCGCGUGUCUCAAGGCGAAAUUCUUUUUACGUCCGGCCUCAGUGUCGCUAUCGGGAACGUUUCUUCGGUGGCUUUUUUUCUCCUUUUAACUCGCGCGAGAGGCUCGCGUUGCCUCGGUAUUGAAAAAAAAAAAACUUCUUUAUCGUGACGAUACCACGCCCGAGGCCCCACGCACGUCUUAUCGCGAUCGGGCAUUUACGUGGGGAAAUCAAACGUGUCUCGUGAUACUGCAAUAACACACUGUCGACAUGUUUGUAAAUCCGCCCGACACUCCCCGAGUUCUGACUUAUGUCCGAUACGAGAAAUGUGCUGAAAGUCAAUCGAGAACGGCCGCGCUAUGUAAAAAAUUGAUAGAAAAUAAUAGAAACGGAUUUCAACUUUAUUGAAAUUUUAUUCAAUUUUGUGACAAAUUAUCGCUUCAAUCGGACUCACACCUUUUUGGUUUCUCUAGAAAAACUAUAUCUAUUUACACUAUUUAAAUAUUAAAGAAUCAAAUUUUAAUAACCCAAUUCCUUGAGUUAAAUAACAUUAUUUUUAACUUCUGUGUAUCAAAAUUAUUUUAACACAAAAUAUGUAUAGUUAAAGAAACAAUAACAAACUUAUCUAAUCAACUCACUUCUGUGAUAAAAUUGCUCUGUUUCAAAGUGUCCGUAUUAACGUAUGCACCAGUAAAUAAUAAAUUAAAUUUUAGUCAAGUUUAACAUUUUUAUAGUUAACUUGUUUAGUUUCAUUGUUUUGGUAAUUUAAUUAAAGUGAAAACAUGAUAGAAUAAUAUCAAUUUCGACAAAACUCGGUCGAAUGGACAUUGAAGAUAAUUACUAAAUUAUACUUUAAAUAUCAUAAAAAUAGAUAACAAAUCUGAUGUUUACCAACCAAAAACACGAAAGAAUUAUAUAUUUUUUCUUAUGUAAUUCUAUCGGAUUUUUUUUUUAAGCAUGGCGGUCCGAGAGAACAGCGGCGACGAUAAUGGUUCCAAGUGGAAGCAUUUAGGGCUACAAAUGCGUUCCGAGUCUGAGUACAAAUACAUUCUGAUUAUUUUGAAAGAGAAAGAGAGAAAGGCGGCUCUCACAUAGAACGAUUAUUUAUUUUACUUACCCGAAGGGAUUGCAGACUCGGAGUUUUUUUUUUUAAGCACAUGAUAGUCGCUCAACAGUCCCCCGAGUUAAUUUGUCGUUCUUGCUCCUUUGCGAAUAAUGUUCUUGUAAUGAUGUUUCUCUAACGCUCCAUCGUUUUCGGGAGAACUCACGUCUCGCGCCUGGCACGCACGAGCCGUCACAAUCGCAGCGCGCAAUCACAAUCGUAUUCCGAGCACGACGCGGAGAUCAGUGCGACGGCACGGCGGCCGCGGAUCGUUUUAACUAGGAAAUCGUUCUCGCCUUACAGGAUGCCGGUGCGUCAAUAUUGACACAUUUCUUACGAAACGCGCGAGAGAACCGGGCUUUCGUCUCCUCUAUCUCCGGGCCUCCUCUAUCUGGCGAUUGUCGAAAAACCUCGCGCACAGAUUCCCGGCGAGUAAAUUAGUCUCUCACAAUUCUUCGAUGAGGUACGUCGAAUGUAUAUUAAUACUUAUAAUUAAAUACAAUAUAUAUGUAAAUUAAUUAUAAUUAGGUACGCGCGUUUAAUAGGUAUACAUAAUGUUACAUGCAUUUAAAUAAUGUUUAAUCACGUUAAAUAAUAACGUACUUUAUUAAUCUAAUAUUAAUAACGUAACAUUAAUCAUUGACAUCGCAUACGUAUUAAUUAAUGUCAGUUGUUAAGCCAUACUCAGUAUCUUCUUUCUUUCGGAUGACUAGAAAAAUGACUUACAUGUCGCCUCCUGUACAAUCGUUGCGAUUGCCUCUAUGUGAUCCACGUGUUACGCAAGUGAAACUUAAAUAAUGUAACAAACGUGGAAAAGGUGUACUGUAUCAGGAAACAGGAAAUUGAUUCGGUGAACAAAAGAUUCGUUGGAUAACGAAGACAAUUCCGUAUUGAUUAAACGCAAAAAGUCGCGUAAUAGCAACGAACAUCGAUAACACUCGGUUUGUGUAAUAAAAUAGAGAGAAGGAAAAACAAAUAUCGAUACGUCGGUAUCAACGGUUUUAGCUCGUACAAUUAAUGCAUUAAUUUAUUAAUAUUUAAUACCUCUUAACUCAUUAAGCCCCAUGAUUAUGUAUACCAGCAAGAUUAACCAAAAAAUAACAAUGAUUUCUUGAGGAAUUUAAAAAUACACUGAUAUCUUUUUAUUGCUGUGUAAAAAGGCAGUGAUAAAUGGAAUAAUAGUAAUUGUUAUUUUUUAGCUAAUCUUGCCGAUCUGGACCUCCAUGGAUUAAUUGGAUCUAUUGGCGUUGCUAGAAAAAAAUCUAAAAAUCAAAUUAAGGAAAGAAUGAUGAAGAAAACGGCGCGUAAUGUUAAUUUUUUAUUUCUUUUUUCAUAUAGUCUCUUAAUCAUGUAACAACAACUGCCAAGUAACAAUAUCGCAAUAUAAACGUAUAUCGUUAAUUUAAUACAACGCAAGCAGGAACAUACGCCUGUGUAUAAAUAAAUUGGCAGGGAAGGAAAAAAAAACAAUAUAUAUUACACUAUCAAUAUAUGCACCACCUCUUAUCGAACGUUAAAUUCCGCGAAUUAAAUCCCGCGAUACGCGGGUCAUUCAUGGUACAUUUUAUCACCAAAGUGUACUGCCCUGCACGCAGUAUAACGGAAACGAAUUGUUAGGCAGCUACAAUUGUACACUUGUCACGCAAUGGAUGGAUACUUUUUCCUUUGGCCGGUACUCAGCGUAAAACGAAGUUACCGAAGUACAGAUGUCUGUAUGACUCAGGAUACGGACGCAAAGAGAAAACGCCUUUUCACAUCGGAAACGCGAUUGUACAAUCUAAAAUCCUCGCUGUUCGCCGUUUCGAAGAGCGAGGCAAGAAACUUCGUUUUACUCCUAACAAUAAAAUAAAGACCCUGUUAACAAGCGCACUAUGUCUCUUUCGCGUUACGGUAACGUCACAAUAGCAAUUACCGCAGCACGAUACGUCUAAGAAAUCCACGGACAACAUAUAAAAGUAUUUUUAUAAAGAAAUAAUGUGAAAACAUUAAAAAAGGAGAACAAAACAAA
This is an RNA transcript of Solenopsis invicta (red fire ant), 11227 nucleotides long. RefSeq lists it as uncharacterized. Lineage: Eukaryota; Metazoa; Arthropoda; Insecta; Hymenoptera; Formicidae. The record is from RefSeq and is a predicted model, not a curated record. The transcript is spliced from 6 exons.